This 772-nucleotide small RNA is filed under the name Beilschmiedia tarairi. Its description in RNAcentral is "eukaryotic LSU rRNA". The stretch from base 302 to 457 matches the Rfam family "5.8S ribosomal RNA". The record is from RNAcentral. Lineage: Eukaryota; Viridiplantae; Streptophyta; Magnoliopsida; Laurales; Lauraceae.
AGGUGAACCUGCGGAAGGAUCAUUGUCGUGGAAAAGAGCAACCAUGCGAACCCGUUUUGUCACUCUUCGCUCGACGGAUGCGCCCUCCGGCCCGAUGCCCUUGGAUGCGGUCCUUGCGCUUCCGCAUGGGCGUCGGCGGGGGGGUGCGCGGCCAGCCGAGCGACACCCACAGGGCGCAGCGCGCGCCAAGCACUUGAAGCGAAAAGGUGCGGAGUCCUUGGCCGUUGCUUUGCUCCUUCAUUCCAGUCGGGGCGUGGCAUCGAUGUUGGGGACACCUCCGCACCGCUCCGAUCAUAUAGACGACUCUCGGCAACGGAUAUCUCGGCUCUUGCAUCGAUGAAGAACGUAGCGAGAUGCGAUACGUGGUGUGAAUUGCAGAAUCCCGUGAACCAUCGAGUCUUUGAACGCAAGUUGCGCCCGAGGCCACUCGGCCGAGGGCACGCCUGCCUGGGCGUCACGCCCCCGUUCGCUCCCUCAAGGCACGCCCUGCCUCGGGGAUGCGGAGAUUGGCCGCCCGUUGUGCGAAUCGAAGGCGAGCGGUUGGCCCAAAUGCAGGUCAAAGUGCGGUGCGGCACGACGCGCGUUGGUUUAGCAGCGCGGUUGAUCGCUGAUCGGUCGCCGCGCCCGUGUCAUGCCGCUCGCGGUGCGACCCGUGGGACGCAACUUGCCCGCUACGGCGGGCACUCGGACCGCGACCCCAGGUCAGGCGGGACCACCCGCUGAGUUUAAGCAUAUCAAUAAGCGGAGGAGAAGAAACUUACGAGGAUUCCCC